Molecule: ribosomal RNA, 425 nt
Filed under: uncultured bacterium
Lineage: Bacteria
Description: partial 16S ribosomal RNA
Rfam family: Bacterial small subunit ribosomal RNA
Source: RNAcentral
GUGGGGAAUCUUAGACAAUGGGGGAAACCCUGAUCUAGCCAUGCCGCGUGAGCGAUGAAGGCCUUAGGGUUGUAAAGCUCUUUCAGCUGGGAAGAUAAUGACGGUACCAGCAGAAGAAGCCCCGGCUAACUCCGUGCCAGCAGCCGCGGUAAUACGGCGGGGGCUAGCGUUGUUCGGAAUUACUGGGCGUAAAGCGCGCGUAGGCGGACCAGAAAGUUGGAGGUGAAAUCCCAGGGCUCAACCUUGGAACUGCCUUCAAAACUCCUGGUCUGGAGUUCGAGAGAGGUGAGUGGAAUUCCGAGUGUAGAGGUGAAAUUCGUAGAUAUUCGGAGGAACACCAGUGGCGAAGGCGGCUCACUGGCUCGAUACUGACGCUGAGGUGCGAAAGCGUGGGGAGCAAACAGGAUUAGAUACCCGUGUAGUCC